UGGGCGUAAAGCGCGUGUAGGCGGUUUUGUAAGUCUGAUGUGAAAGCCCUGGGCUCAACCCAGGAAGUGCAUUGGAAACUGUCAGACUUGAAUACGGGAGAGGGUAGUGGAAUUCCUGGUGUAGGAGUGAAAUCCGUAGAUAUCAGGAGGAACACCGGUGGCGAAGGCGGCUACCUGGACCGAUAUUGACGCUGAGACGCGAAAGCGUGGGUAGCAACACAGGAUUAGAUACCCAGGUAUUCCACGCCGUAAACGAUGAGUAC
RNAcentral lists this ribosomal RNA (263 nucleotides) under uncultured Geobacteraceae bacterium. Its description in RNAcentral is "partial 16S ribosomal RNA". It matches the Rfam family "Bacterial small subunit ribosomal RNA", at positions 555 to 816 of the family's 1533-position model. The record is from RNAcentral. Lineage: Bacteria; Pseudomonadati; Thermodesulfobacteriota; Desulfuromonadia; Geobacterales; Geobacteraceae.